ACUUCUGUGCACUUUUCAUAGGCCGGCUUGUGGGUGCGUUCGCGCACUUGUAGGUGUCGGGCUUAUGCUUUAUUACAAACGAUUCAGUUUUAGAAUGUCAUACUUUGCUAUAACGCAAUUUAUAUACAACUUUCAGCAACGGAUCUCUUGGCUCUCGCAUCGAUGAAGAACGCAGCGAAAUGCGAUAAGUAAUGUGAAUUGCAGAAUUCAGUGAAUCAUCGAAUCUUUGAACGCACCUUGCGCUCCUUGGUAUUCCGAGGAGCAUGCCUGUUUGAGUCUCAUGGAAUUCUCAACCUUCAGCUUUAUUGAUGAAGGCUUGGACUUGGAGGUCGUGCCGGCUCUCGUAGUCGGCUCCUCUGAAAUGCAUUU
This 369-nucleotide ribosomal RNA is filed under the name Bjerkandera adusta. Its description in RNAcentral is "5.8S ribosomal RNA". The stretch from base 128 to 281 matches the Rfam family "5.8S ribosomal RNA". Lineage: Eukaryota; Fungi; Basidiomycota; Agaricomycetes; Polyporales; Phanerochaetaceae. The record is from RNAcentral. RNAcentral also lists the same sequence under 1 other name.